Molecule: ribosomal RNA, 468 nt
Filed under: uncultured bacterium
Lineage: Bacteria
Description: partial 16S ribosomal RNA
Rfam family: Bacterial small subunit ribosomal RNA
Source: RNAcentral
GACGAACGCUGGCGGCGUGCUUAACACAUGCAAGUCGAACGGAAAGGCCCUGCUUUUGUGGGGUGCUCGAGUGGCGAACGGGUGAGUAACACGUGAGUAACCUGCCCUUGACUUUGGGAUAACUUCAGGAAACUGGGGCUAAUACCGGAUAGGAGCUCCUGCUGCAUGGUGGGGGUUGGAAAGUUUCGGCGGUUGGGGAUGGACUCGCGGCUUAUCAGCUUGUUGGUGGGGUAGUGGCUUACCAAGGCUUUGACGGGUAGCCGGCCUGAGAGGGUGACCGGCCACAUUGGGACUGAGAUACGGCCCAGCCUCCUACGGGAGGCAGCAGUGGGGAAUAUUGCACAAUGGGCGGAAGCCUGAUGCAGCAACGCCGCGUGCGGGAUGACUGCCUUCGGGUUGUAAACCGCUUUCGCCUGUGACGAAGCGUGAGUGACGGUAAUGGGUAAAGAAGCACCGGCUAACUACGUG